CCUACGGGUGGCAGCAGUGGGGAAUAUUGCACAAUGGGGGAAACCCUGAUGCAGCGACGCCGCGUGAGUGAAGAAGUAUCUCGGUAUGUAAAGCUCUAUCAGCAGGGAAGAAAAUGACGGUACCUGACUAAGAAGCCCCGGCUAACUACGUGCCAGCAGCCGCGGUAAUACGUAGGGAGCAAGCGUUAUCCGGAUUUAUUGGGUGUAAAGGGUGCGUAGACGGGAAAACAAGUUAGUUGUGAAAUCCCUCAGCUUAACUGAGGAACUGCAACUAAAACUAUUUUUCUUGAGUGCUGGAGAGGAAAGUGGAAUUCCUAGUGUAGCGGUGAAAUGCGUAGAUAUUAGGAGGAACACCAGUGGCGAAGGCGACUUUCUGGACAGUAACUGACGUUGAGGCACGAAAGUGUGGGGAGCAAACAGGAUUAGAUACCCCAGUAGUC
This 440-nucleotide ribosomal RNA is filed under the name uncultured bacterium. Its description in RNAcentral is "partial 16S ribosomal RNA". It matches the Rfam family "Bacterial small subunit ribosomal RNA", at positions 338 to 795 of the family's 1533-position model. The record is from RNAcentral.